CCCUUAGAUGUUCUGGGCCGCACGCGCGCUACACUGAUGCAUUCAACGAGUUUCUUCCUGGUCCGAGAGGAAUGGGUAACCUUUUGAAAGUGCAUCGUGAUAGGGAUAGACUAUUGCAAUUAUUGGUCUUCAACGAGGAAUUCCUAUUAGACGUAGUUCAUCAGACUGCAUCGAUUACGUCCCUGCCCUUUGUACACACCGCCCGUCGCUCCUACCGAUUGAAUGCUCAGGUGAGCCAUUCGGACUUUCAUCAUGCUGGUUUCCAGUUUUGAUGAAGGAAAGUCUUGCGAACCUUAUCAUUUAGAGGAAGGAGAAGUCGUAACA
Molecule: ribosomal RNA, 324 nt
Filed under: uncultured eukaryote
Lineage: Eukaryota
Description: partial 18S ribosomal RNA
Rfam family: Eukaryotic small subunit ribosomal RNA
Source: RNAcentral